This 820-nucleotide long non-coding RNA is filed under the name Triticum aestivum (bread wheat). RNAcentral's name for it is "long non-coding RNA (TAES_LNC014478)". Lineage: Eukaryota; Viridiplantae; Streptophyta; Magnoliopsida; Poales; Poaceae. The record is from RNAcentral.
UCCUCUUGCAGACAGUCCUACAUGCCUUGAUCGACCUAUGCAUGACACAACUCCAAGAUAGCACGAUAGCAUUCUUCCUGCUUUGCGACAUGAUUCUUGUCAAGUGUUUCCUAUGGACAGGAACAGGAUGAUGAGACGCGACUGGUUGCUGCUCGGGAGGCGGAAUCUUCAAAACCUAACCGAUUGAGGAGAAGAUCUUGUGGAGACUGGACACAGAAGGCAUGGCUUCGAGGUUUCAAUGGCGCUGUAGGAUGUGAGCUGCAGCCACACAGGACAGGAUGAAUAGUGCGGCCCUAGAGUAGACCAUCAGAAACCCUAGAACUGGGCUGCUCGAGAGGCAUAGUUUUGGCGUUUCGGUGGAUCUAUAGGAGGUGAGCUUUAGUUCCACAGGAGGAAUAGCUCGGCCCUAGGGCAAACCAUCAGAAACCCUAAAACCUGGGCAGACCAUCAGAAACGCUAAAACAUGGACUGCUCGAGAGGCAUAUGUCUUUGAGGUUCCGAUAGAGAUGUAGGACGUGAAUCAGAAUCAGCUUCUAGAGCGUACAUCUCUUUUGUAUGCAACGUGUCAGGAUUUUUUUUUUACCAUAUUGAUGCAUGUACGUGAACCUUUUUUUGAAGUGGCCCGUACGUCAACCUAACUCUUCCUACCUUUUUUUACGUGAUGACGCUUCCUUGCCUAGUCGUUUUUUUAUGUGCUAACGCUUCCUUGCCUAGUCUAAUUACAAUGGAUGGGCUGUAUAUGUGACAACGUCAUAGUCCGAUAUGUUGGUACAUACACAUUAAUAUGUUACGUAAAAACCUUUAAAUCUCAGCCAUUAUU